This is a small nucleolar RNA of Nomascus leucogenys (northern white-cheeked gibbon), 128 nucleotides long. Lineage: Eukaryota; Metazoa; Chordata; Mammalia; Primates; Hylobatidae. The record is from Ensembl.
GGCUUCCUGGUACUUACCACGGUCUGUGUUCUUACACUGACUAGAAACAGGAGGCAGAGUAAAUCAACCCCACAUAUACCUCAGUCCAGGCCCUGUGCUGGGUCUGUAUUGUUAAUCAGGAGACAUGG